Non-coding RNA from Sus scrofa (pig), 45 nucleotides. The record is from Rfam. Lineage: Eukaryota; Metazoa; Chordata; Mammalia; Artiodactyla; Suidae.
CCAUAGGCUGCAGUUGCAGCCAUAAAAAGAAAAAAUUAAAAAAAA